GUCUUGCUGGGAGAUAGCGCUUACCCUUGCCUCCCGUGGCUUUUAACGCCAAUUGCGGCUCCUGCGACUGACGAAGAGAGAAGGUACAACUCGGCACAUGCUAAGACACGCGUGAUAAUAGAGAAUACUAUCGGCGCCCUUCGGAUGAGGUUCCAGGCGCUAGACACGAAAAAGAUGCGGCUGAAAAAGAUCGAGUCAUGCGUACGCGUCACCAUCGCGUGCGCAAUUUUACAUAACGUAUGCCAGAGUACCGGAGACGACGGCCGAUGGCUGGCUGAGGAGGCGGGCGCGGCGGUAGUGGCGGCAAUCCAGCACCGAGCGGGCGAGGCCGGUGACCAAGAUCAACCCACGGGCCAGGGGCUGGAUGCGACCACACAGCGGCGCGCCGGUCAGGCCAGACGAAAUGAGUUUGUUCGCCUGUUCCGGGAAUAGAAACUCAGUCAACCAUACCAACAAGGCUCUUCAUUUUUCAUCUGUUUGUGUCUGUUUUGACAACGUUUGAGAGUUAAUGCGGCAUUGCAGUGUGCGCGGCUGUUCGUGUUUUGUGUAUGCGAUUGAAUGCAUCCCGCUGAGUUGUUGUAAUGCUAUUGAAUUGUCGUAACCUUCCAAAUGA
Molecule: long non-coding RNA, 613 nt
Organism: Pollicipes pollicipes
Lineage: Eukaryota; Metazoa; Arthropoda; Thecostraca; Pollicipedomorpha; Pollicipedidae
Exons: 3
Source: RefSeq, a predicted model, not a curated record